AAUAAGUACAACUAUUAAUUUCCGUAUACAACUUUAAUCGUCCAUCUUAUUUUAAAAUUUUUUAAUAAUUAGUAUUUUUAUUGAUAUUAGAUUAUAAAAUAUGAAUAGUACUUUAUGCGUGACUUAUGUUUUUCAGUUGAGCACGGAAACUCAUGUGUUGUGCUUAUUUUAGGACGGAGGGAGUAUAUUUGGUGAGAUUAUGGCCCUGUUUAGU
This 214-nucleotide microRNA precursor is filed under the name Oryza rufipogon (brownbeard rice). RNAcentral describes it as "MIR812 microRNA precursor family". It matches the Rfam family "MIR812 microRNA precursor family". The record is from Rfam by way of RNAcentral. Lineage: Eukaryota; Viridiplantae; Streptophyta; Magnoliopsida; Poales; Poaceae.